This 440-nucleotide ribosomal RNA is filed under the name uncultured bacterium. Its description in RNAcentral is "partial 16S ribosomal RNA". It matches the Rfam family "Bacterial small subunit ribosomal RNA", at positions 338 to 795 of the family's 1533-position model. The record is from RNAcentral.
CCUACGGGAGGCAGCAGUGGGGAAUAUUGCACAAUGGGGGAAACCCUGAUGCAGCGACGCCGCGUGAGGGAAGAAGGUUUUCGGAAUGUAAACCUCUAUCCGCUGUGAAGAUAAUGACGGUAGCAGAGGAAGAAGCUCCGGCUAACUACGUGCCAGCAGCCGCGGUAAUACGUAGGGGGCAAGCGUUGUCCGGAUUUACUGGGUGUAAAGGGUGCGUAGGCGGCUGGGCAAGUCAGAAGUGAAAUCCAAGGGCUUAACCAAUGAACUGCUUUUGAAACUGUCGAGCUGGAGUGAAGGAGAGGUAGGCGGAAUUCCUGGUGUAGCGGUGAAAUGCGUAGAGAUUGGGAGGAACACCAGUGGCGAAGGCGGCUUACUGGGCUUUAACUGACGUUGAGGCACGAAAGCGUGGGGAGCAAACAGGAUUAGAUACCCGGGUAGUC